GAUGAACGCUGGCGGCGUGCCUAAUACAUGCAAGUCGAGCGAACGGACGAGAAUCUUGCUGCUCUGAUGUUAGCGGCGGACGGGUGAGUAACACGUGUAUAACCUACCUAUAAUACUGGGAUAACUUCGGGAAACCGGAUCUAAUACCGGAGAAUAUUUUGAACCGCAUGGUUGAAUAGUGAAAGACGGUCGUGCUGGCACUUAUAGAGGGAUCCGCGCUGCAUUAGCUAGUUGGUAAGGUAACGGCUUACCAAGGCAACGAUGCAUAGCCGACGUGAGAGGGUGAUAGGCCACACGGGAAGUGAGACACGGUCAAGACUCCUACGGGAGGCAGCAGAAGGGAAUCUUACGCAAUGGGCGAAAGCAUGACGGAGCAACGCCGCGUGAGUGAUGAAGGUCUUCGGAUCGUAAAACUCUGUUAUUAGGGAAGAACAUAUGUGUAAGUAAAUGUGCCCAUCUUGACGGUACCUAGUCAGAAAGCAACGGCUAACUACGUG
RNAcentral lists this ribosomal RNA (497 nucleotides) under uncultured bacterium. Its description in RNAcentral is "partial 16S ribosomal RNA". It matches the Rfam family "Bacterial small subunit ribosomal RNA", at positions 28 to 507 of the family's 1533-position model. The record is from RNAcentral.